RNAcentral lists this ribosomal RNA (497 nucleotides) under uncultured bacterium. Its description in RNAcentral is "partial 16S ribosomal RNA". It matches the Rfam family "Bacterial small subunit ribosomal RNA", at positions 28 to 507 of the family's 1533-position model. The record is from RNAcentral.
GAUGAACGCUGGCGGCGUGCCUAAUACAUGCAAGUCGAGCGAACAGACGAGGAGCUUGCUCCUCUGACGUUAGCGGCGGACGGGUGAGUAACACGUGGAUAACCUACCUAUCAGACUGGGAUAACUUCGGGAAACCGGAGCUAAUACCGUAUAACAUGUUGAACCGCAUGGUUCAACAGUGAAAGACGGCCUUGCUGUCACUUAUCGAUGGAUCCGCGCCGCAUUAGCUAGUUGGUAAGGUAACGGCUUACCAAGGCAACGAUGCGUAGCCGACCUGAGAGGGUGGUCGGCCACACGGGAACUGAAACACGGUCCAGACUCCUACGGGAGGCAGCAGUAGGGAAUCUUACGCAAUGGGCGAAAGCCUGACGGAGCAACGCCGCGCGAGUGAAGAAGGUCUUCGGAUCGUAAAACUCUGUUAUGAGGGAAGAACAAAUGUGUAAGUAACUAUGCACGUCUUGACGGUACCUAAUCAGAAAGCCACGGCUAACUACGUG